AAAGCUUCAGCGCUGGACCGAGAUCCUCCAAUGCCCCAGCUCCGAGGAGGACAAGGAGAUUCGGAAGAAGCAGGUCCGUCCUCUUUUCCGCCACUUCCGCCGCAUCGACGCCUGUCUGCAGCCCAGAGAGGCCUUCCGGGGAUCAGAUGAGAUCUUUUGCAGGGUGUACACGCCGGACCACUCGUACGUGACGAUCCGCAGCCGUCUGUCGUGCCGCGUGGGGGAGAUCCUGGCGCUGGUCAGGG
Molecule: long non-coding RNA, 245 nt
Organism: Salvelinus sp. IW2-2015
Lineage: Eukaryota; Metazoa; Chordata; Actinopteri; Salmoniformes; Salmonidae
Source: RefSeq, a predicted model, not a curated record